RNAcentral lists this long non-coding RNA (478 nucleotides) under Lathyrus oleraceus (garden pea). RNAcentral describes it as "Pisum sativum (pea) long non-coding RNA (PSAT_LNC039564)". Lineage: Eukaryota; Viridiplantae; Streptophyta; Magnoliopsida; Fabales; Fabaceae. The record is from RNAcentral.
AUGAACUUCAGGCUCUUCCCUAGAAGAAGCAUUGGAUUGAGUAAAGUUUUUUAUUUUAUUUUUCAUUGUGGUUGUAUAUUGAUAUUGAUUGAGUAAUGUUUUUUUUUGCAUUGUAUGUGUGUUUAAUUAAAAUGUGUUUUACCAUUCCUUACAAAUAAUAGAAUAACAAAAUUUUGACAAACUGAAAUUUAUCCAAUAAAAUUAUUUAUUUCAAGAUGAGUAAUUGCCCAUAAUCGAAUUUAAGUAACUAAAAUCUGAUAAUAGAAUUUGUUAGUUUUGUUGCGAUAUUUCUGUUUAAUUUCUGUUUUUUUGAAAUGAUUUGUUUGAUAAGCAGGGUGUAGUGGCUAACUUGAAGAAUCAAAUACUGUGGUUUCAAAAGGAAAAUCAAAUACUUAAGAUGAAAGUCCAAAAGUGAGCUCUAUAAUUUUCUGCACAUUUUUCAUGUCUUCAAUUUAUAUUUUAGCAUUUACUGUUAUUU